GUGCUCUCAAGGUCUCAGCUCAUGAGCCUCCCACUCUUCCUUGUGAAGCAGCAAAUGCAACAUACCUAAAGGUGAAUAGAGUAUUUAUUUGUACUAUAAAUGUCAUAAGAAAAAGUUGACUAUAGGCUGGUUAUAGUUUACCCAUGAUUCAUCAUGUCAUUCUUAGGUGCAUAAACUAAGGUGUACAUAAUUUAUUUUGUGGAGGAAGAAUAUGGUAACUUAAACAGUAUUACAUGUGAUGCCAUGUCGCUGCGGGGAAGCAUUCACACACUCACGUUUGGCAUGUUCCAUGCAGCAGACCUGUCGUCAUUGGUUGAGGUAAGCAACGUUUCUUGCUUUCUCAUAUAUUUAUUUUUAUUCACUAAGUUCAACCUUGUACUUGGGAAGUCAAAUCACUAUUUCUGUUCAAGGUUGUCAUGAAAAUUUCAAAAAUGGAAUGGAAUGAAUUAACAGUGCGCUUCUGCAUUUUUGACUUAGAUGUUGCAAGGCUGCGAGGUGAGGGCAGACGGUGCACGUCAUCACUGCCGCUCUCUCCUGUCUCUGUUUUUCUCUUUGCUGAAGAAAUUUCACACAACCAGGAGCAGUGAAUAGGGUUACAAUUUGUGAAUUGAGAUGUUUGUGCAGUUGCUGCACUUUUAUAACCACUUCUGAUUAGUUGCGGAUGCAAUGAUGUUUAGCUGAUGUGGAAUAUUUUUGACUAGAAUCCUUGAUUGUGUAUUUGUUCCAUUUUUAAAUUUAUUUAUUCAUGCUUCAUACACACCAGAUACAAUUUCAUCUAAGGAAAAUCAAGGUCUGAUUGAAAAAAAUUAAGUUCUUGGCACAAUUAACAUUGGAUGACCCGCCUUGCUAUAUUAUGAACAUGCUUGCUUUAAAUUAUUAGUUAAUUGAAAUAAUUUAUAAUUUUAUCUCUGUAGUUGCAUCCUCCAUAUUUUGAUAAAAUUUACAAAUGUCAGAUUUUGUUCAUUAGCAUAGGUUCAUGAAUGCCGAGCGCAUCCAAUCGACAUCGUCAAACUUUGGGCUCUAGCACUUUGCUCUGUUUGUGAGGAUGGAUCAAUAGUGCGCUCACCAAGUGGCAGCA
This 1078-nucleotide long non-coding RNA is filed under the name Triticum aestivum (bread wheat). RNAcentral describes it as "long non-coding RNA (TAES_LNC021770)". Lineage: Eukaryota; Viridiplantae; Streptophyta; Magnoliopsida; Poales; Poaceae. The record is from RNAcentral.